UCACAGCCGCCGCCCCCACCCCGCCGUCGAUCUCGCCCACGGCGGCCGCCCCCACCCCGCCGCCGUCCUCGCCCACGGCGGCCGCCCCACCCGGCCGCCGACCUCGCCCACGUCGGCCGCACCACCCCGCCGUUGACCUCAUCCCCGGCCGACGCCUUCCUCCACAUCCUUCUGACCCCAAGGCUGAGGUCGUUCCCGUCUAUCUCCCCUGUGUGUGCGCGUACAUCGUCGGCAAGCGUGAGGAGGGGUUGCCGCAGUUGCUUCUUCGCCUUCUCCCAUCUCACGUCCCCAUCGCCGGACGCCUCGCCACGUCUCUCACCUUGCCCCUCUCCAUGGUAAACUCCAGUCCUCCCCUCUCCCCUGCUCUUUUAAUUUCUUUUAUCCUUAAUGUUCUUCCUUUGAUAAAUCUAAGCCGUGAAUUUGCACAAAUCUCGCUAAAUUUCGUGCUCUUAUCUCUUCCAUCUCGGUGGUUUCUUCUGUAGGUGCAUCGCGGAACUAUUUCUGGAGGCCGUCGCCACCGCAUUAGUUGCCGGAUGGUCUUCCCCUGCUCCAUUGUAAGUAAAAAAAACAUGAUUUUUCUGUGGGGCUAUAUAGGUACCUCUGGCCGGAGCCGAUAUUGGGUCUUCUGUUUACCUCAGAGACGAGUUCCCAAGAAAUGCUCUUUGUUUAUUGCCUUUUUGCAUUCUUUUGCCGUGUAUGGAUUUAUUCAUUUUACAUGUUGCAAGAAAUGGCUUUGUUCUCUAUGCUAGCUCAAAGUUUAGAUGCUGCUGCUAGGUGUGCUAUUAGCAACCACAUUGGUUAAGUCACUGAAAACUGAAAAGAUUAAUGUCACUGUAAUUUUCAUCCUUGCUAGGUGCUUUAGGAUAUGCAGUGUAUGUAUGUGAAGAUGUACUCUUCUUUUUAGAUCACUGAUGCUACUUGCGCCGUACUAUUCGAUGCCCAAUUCAGAGUUACGUAACAGGCUUACUGCUUUCUCUUAGAGAGAGAAAAAAUGCUAUCAUUGGCUGCGGCCAUCACCACGCACAACGACGGCUGGCGUUCCUUUUUCUCUUGCCCCGCUCUUCGCUGGAUCCAACUCUCAAAGCAACAUGCUAAUUAAUGGCUAUUGCCGUUGGUCAUGAUUUUUUCUGCUGAUUUUUUCAUCUUCCUAUGGAUUUGUUUCUUCCUAUAAAUACUUCCCAUCCCAGUGCCAGUGCUGGUAGAUGCAGAUUUACAUCAAUUUGCAAUUAGCCAAAGCAAAAUCUAGGCUGAUGGUUCAAGGUCUCAAAAAAUUCAUGUAACUUUCAAAUCCUUUCCUCUUUGGCCCUUGUACUGUGGUCUAUUCUUGGUUUUCCAGUGAAUCACUCUUCUUUUUUUACAUGUACAAUGUGUGCUUGUGCAGGCGCUGCUUUCAGGAGACAAUGAGUCCGGAACAGAUGAGUGAGGAUCAUAACUGGAUGGUUUCAUAGUUGGAUUUCUACCAGUCCAACAGAUUCAUGUCAUCUGGCUAUUUUUCUGUAAGUAUAUUUCCUAAUAAGCAUCUCUGAAUUGUCAAGUUGUGAAGAAAAAAAGGAUAUCACGUUGCUCGAGGCAUGAAACCUAGUGCCAGAUUAUAAAGUUUCAUAUAUACUUUUCUGGUUUUAUUCAUAUAUCAUAUGGUGUGUCCACAAAUGGCACCACUGCAUGAGAUGCAUUAAUUCUGAACAUGCAAGUCUAGGACAGUGCUGCUCCAGUGACAAUAUAUGUGUCACAAUGAGCUGAGUUUCCAACAUAUCUAGUCAGCAGUUGGAUGAGUACUAUUUUCUCCUUAGUGGCUGCUGCCAGGUAGUGUGUUUCUUAUGUGGCUUUGUGCUGGCUGGCUAUAAUUAUGUAGGUGAUGCUGCUGAUCAUGAACCUAGGUAACACAGAAAUUGUGUAUUUAGUCGCCAUUUCUCUGUGCAAUGUGAUGGAUGAGAAUAAGAGUGGUGCCAUGUAUAUGUAGAACUAUUGUUGCUUUUGAGGAAAAGCCCAAGAAGCAAAUUAGGCUAUGACUCAAAUAAUCAUCACCAACUUUGUCACGCAAAGCAUUCUUCACAAUAGUCAUAGCUGGAAAACAUGUCUCAACAUUGGCAGUGGCAACUUGGAGAGUCAGUGCUAGCUUCAAAAGCCGAUAUACCAAAGGGUAGGAGAGAUGCUUCCUUGUAUCCACCAUCAGUUUAGCAAUCACCUAUUUUGUCCAAGCUAGAAAACCUUCUAUCAUGGGUUACAUCAUUUAUGUAGAUACUAAGUUCAUGUUCAAGAGUAACAUAUCUCUGUGACUAAAAUCAUCAGGAUAAAGCUUAGCUAAUUCCAACAACUUCUUGUCAAAAAAACAAAAUAAAUCACCUUUGCUCAAAGCAGACCCGUUGGUGGCGGCAGCCCCUGGGUUGUGGUGUUGCCAUCUCUUUAUUUCCUUGUCAAAUAUUGCUUCUUCAUUAAUUUUGUACAUAAUUUUGUAGGGGAAGAUGAUUCGUCUAUGUUAUCUUCAAGGACGACGCUAUGGAUGAUCACAUUGGCAAUGGCAUCACUCGAGUUUGCAACAUGACUGAGAACAUGAUGAUAACAACUAUGCAUCCGGAGGAGGAUCUCACUAGUCCGUUUGCACUUCAACUAAUGAGCGACAAUCGUAUGGUAUUUUGUUGCAGCAACUGUUAUAUGGAAUAUGAUGGAUGAGAAAUAGUAAAAUGAUGCGUAUGUAUGUGAUGCUGCUGAUCAUGAAUCUAGGUGACUUAGAAGUGUGUGUGUGUGUGUGUGUGUGUUUUGUUUCAUUGCCCUGUGCAAUGCGAUGGAUCAGAAUCAGAGUGGUUUCAUGUAUGCGUAGAAAUGUUUUUGCUUUUGAGCAAGUCCAUGUACAAAUUCUCGUAUGUCAAUUGCUGGAUGUUGAAACAUAGUUUAAUAUAUCGGUAUGUACGUAAACACUGAUUUUGGACGGCUUUCCUAAUAUAUGGGCUAUUGGAUGUAUGCUUAUUUAUCACUGAAUAUUUAUUGACAGGUUAUAGAACUAUCAAUUAG
RNAcentral lists this long non-coding RNA (3009 nucleotides) under Triticum aestivum (bread wheat). Its description in RNAcentral is "long non-coding RNA (TAES_LNC026591)". The record is from RNAcentral. Lineage: Eukaryota; Viridiplantae; Streptophyta; Magnoliopsida; Poales; Poaceae.